UACGGAGGGUGCGAGCGUUAAUCGGAAUUACUGGGCGUAAAGCGCACGUAGGCGGUUGCGUAAGUCGAUUGUGAAAGCCCCGGGCUUAACCUGGGAAUUGCAGUCGAUACUGCGCAGCUAGAGUGUGGUAGAGGGAAGUGGAAUUCCGGGUGUAGCGGUGAAAUGCGUAGAUAUCCGGAGGAACACCAGUGGCGAAGGCGGCUUCCUGGACCAACACUGACGCUGAGGUGCGAAAGCGUGGGGAGCAAACAGGAUUAGAUACCCCCGUAGUCC
Molecule: ribosomal RNA, 273 nt
Filed under: uncultured bacterium
Lineage: Bacteria
Description: partial 16S ribosomal RNA
Rfam family: Bacterial small subunit ribosomal RNA
Source: RNAcentral